Molecule: ribosomal RNA, 305 nt
Filed under: uncultured bacterium
Lineage: Bacteria
Description: partial 16S ribosomal RNA
Rfam family: Bacterial small subunit ribosomal RNA
Source: RNAcentral
CCUACGGGGGGCAGCAGUGGGGAAUAUUGCACAAUGGGGGAAACCCUGAUGCAGCGACGCCGCGUGAGUGAAGAAGUAUCUCGGUACGUAAAGCUCUAUCAGCAGGGAAGAAAAAAAGUCUUUGGCUUUGGACGGUACCUGACUAAGAAGCCCCGGCUAACUACGUGCCAGCAGCCGCGGUAAUACGUAGGGGGCAAGCGUUAUCCGGAUUUACUGGGUGUAAAGGGAGCGUAGACGGCAGCGCAAGUCUGGAGUGAAAUGCCGGGGCUCAACCCCGGAACUGCUUUGGAAACUGUGCAGCUAGG